This is a long non-coding RNA of Myotis davidii, 433 nucleotides long. RefSeq lists it as uncharacterized. NCBI's taxonomy places the organism in Eukaryota, Metazoa, Chordata, Mammalia, Chiroptera, Vespertilionidae. The record is from RefSeq and is a predicted model, not a curated record. The transcript is spliced from 3 exons.
GGAAGAAGUGGGGCUGGGCGCGCAGGCGCGGUCCGGCUCUUAUCCGCGCCGGGGCACCCGGAUGAAGGCGGGGAAUCGCGUGCAGCCGGGAAGACGCUCAAGGUCACUUUGUAACAACUUUAUUGGUAACCAGCUGGGAAGGACACUGACAGCCACCGGGGAUGGGCUGCCGCAUAGGGGCUGGUAAAGGGGAGAGGAAAGAGGUUGACCGCUAGCCCCGCAGAGAGAAACGUUUCUUUCGGUUGACACCUGAGACAGUUGGCCUUUUAUCAGUUGCUCUUAAGGAGAGGGAUCCCCUUCCUGGCCAUUUUUCUCUGUGAAAUAGUACUGUGUGUGUGUGUGUGUGUGUGUGUGUGUGUGAAAAGGGUGAUUCAUUACUUGACAGGACAAAUUAGGGUCCCCAGCAAAGUGAGUGCAUUUCUUUAAAGCAGUG